GGGGAAUAUUGCACAAUGGAGGGAACUCUGAUGCAGCGACGCCGCGUGAGCGAUGAAGGCUUUCGAGUCGUAAAGCUCUGUCGAAUGGGAAGAUAAUGACGGUACCAUUUGAGAAAGCCCCGGCUAACUACGUGCCAGCAGCCGCGGUAAUACGUAGGGGGCGAGCGUUGUCCGGAAUUAUUGGGCGUAAAGGGUUCGUAGGCGGCAAUGUAUGUCAGGUGUGAAAGACGGUGGCUCAACCAACGCAAGCAUCUGAAACUGCAUAGCUUGAGAAAAGGAGAGGUAAGUGGAAUUCCUAGUGUAGCGGUGAAAUGCGUAGAUAUUAGGAGGAAUACCAGUGGCGAAGGCGACUUACUGGACUUUAACUGACGCUGAUGAACGAAAGCGUGGGGAGCAAAC
RNAcentral lists this ribosomal RNA (399 nucleotides) under uncultured bacterium. Its description in RNAcentral is "bacterial SSU rRNA". It matches the Rfam family "Bacterial small subunit ribosomal RNA", at positions 356 to 773 of the family's 1533-position model. The record is from RNAcentral.